This 500-nucleotide ribosomal RNA is filed under the name uncultured bacterium. RNAcentral's name for it is "partial 16S ribosomal RNA". It matches the Rfam family "Bacterial small subunit ribosomal RNA", at positions 30 to 523 of the family's 1533-position model. The record is from RNAcentral.
AUUGAACGCUGGCGGAAUGCUUUACACAUGCAAGUCGAACGGCAGCACGGGGGCAACCAUGGUGGCGAGUGGCGAACGGGUGAGUAAUACAUCGGAACGUGCCCAGUCGUGGGGGAUAACGUAGCGAAAGUUACGAUACUAACGCAUACGACCUACGGAUGAAAGCGGGGGACCGUAAGGCCUCGCGCGAAUGGAGCGGCCGAUGUCAGACUAGGUAGUUGGUGUGGUAAAGGCUCACCAAGCCGACGAUCUGUAGCCGGUCUGAGAGGACGACCAGCCACACUGGGACUGGGACUCGGCCCCGACUCCUACUGGAGGCAGCUGUGGGGAAUUUUUUACAAUGGGCGCAAGCCUGAUCCAGCCAUUCCGCGUGCAGGACGAAGUCCUUCGGGUUGUAAACUUCUUUUGUACGGAACGAAAAGGCUCUGGUUAAUACCUGGGGCUCAUGACGGUACCGUAAGAAUAAGCACCGGCUAACUACGUGCCAGCAGCCGCCGUAA